CAGGCCUAACACAUGCAAGUCGAGGGGCAGCACAUGAGGCAGCAAUGCUGAUGGUGGCGACCGGCGCACGGGUGAGUAACGCGUAUGCAACCUGCCUACAACAGGGGAAUAACCCGUUGAAAGACGGACUAAUACUCCAUAAAACAGGGGUCCCGCAUGGGAAUAUUUGUUAAAGAUUUAUCGGUUGUAGAUGGGCAUGCGUUCCAUUAGCUAGUUGGUGAGGUAACGGCUCACCAAGGCAACGAUGGAUAGGGGAACUGAGAGGUUUAUCCCCCACACUGGUACUGAGACACGGACCAGACUCCUACGGGAGGCAGCAGUGAGGAAUAUUGGUCAAUGGACGCAAGUCUGAACCAGCCACGUCGCGUGAAGGAAGACGGCCCUACGGGUUGUAAACUUCUUUU
This 404-nucleotide ribosomal RNA is filed under the name uncultured bacterium. RNAcentral's name for it is "bacterial SSU rRNA". It matches the Rfam family "Bacterial small subunit ribosomal RNA", at positions 43 to 437 of the family's 1533-position model. The record is from RNAcentral.